UCUACUGAGGUGGAUCAAUGAUGAAAAUAG
This 30-nucleotide non-coding RNA is filed under the name Cricetulus griseus (Chinese hamster). The record is from RNAcentral. Lineage: Eukaryota; Metazoa; Chordata; Mammalia; Rodentia; Cricetidae.